GGGGAAGGGUUCCAUAACAA
RNAcentral lists this unclassified non-coding RNA (20 nucleotides) under Dictyostelium discoideum. Lineage: Eukaryota; Evosea; Eumycetozoa; Dictyosteliales; Dictyosteliaceae. The record is from RNAcentral.